AAUUCUCUAGUUCAUCAAAGGUUUGAGUUCUGACACACUUCCCUUUCUUUUUCUUCUUUUUCAUUGAUUAUUUUUUAUAUGGUAAUUUAGCUGCUGCUGUGUUGUGUCGUUAAGUUUGUACACUGCUGUGAAGUCCUAGACCCUCACAUUUUGGAACAUUCUUUGAUUCUUAAUAUGUUCAGGAUGCAGACGAAGCUAGCGAUGAAGAUUGGGCUGCUUGAGUUAUUAUAUUUUAUAAUUCGAUAGAAUGAUGGCAACUGUUCUCAAUGGUUCUGCAAUUGCUCUCGUGGGCGAACCUUGCUAUAGAUGUCAUGAAUACAAAAGGCAAACAAAAGUGUUGUCAUCUUUUGUUUGUUUCAUUUCUACUUAAGUUACAUGUACACACACAUUCAUGAAGUCUUUGGCUGUAGAGUGACACUUGAAUUUCCAUACGGGAACAUAUGUAACAUUAAAGUUUUAGUUCCAAAAUGCAAGGUCUGGCCGUUGCUUGUGAGAGAAAUU
This 501-nucleotide long non-coding RNA is filed under the name Nicotiana tabacum (common tobacco). Its description in RNAcentral is "long non-coding RNA (NTAB_LNC006452)". The record is from RNAcentral. Lineage: Eukaryota; Viridiplantae; Streptophyta; Magnoliopsida; Solanales; Solanaceae.